RNAcentral lists this ribosomal RNA (560 nucleotides) under Methanosarcina sp. enrichment culture clone H02. RNAcentral's name for it is "bacterial SSU rRNA". It matches the Rfam family "Archaeal small subunit ribosomal RNA", at positions 109 to 667 of the family's 1478-position model. Lineage: Archaea; Methanobacteriati; Methanobacteriota; Methanomicrobia; Methanosarcinales; Methanosarcinaceae. The record is from RNAcentral.
CUGCCCUUGGGUCCGGCAUAACCCCGGGAAACUGGGGAUAAUUCCGGAUAACGCAUAUAUGCUGGAAUGCUUUAUGCGUCAAAUGGAUUCGUCUGCCCAAGGAUGGGUCUGCGGCCUAUCAGGUAGUAGUGGGUGUAAUGUACCUACUAGCCGACGACGGGUACGGGUUGUGAGAGCAAGAGCCCGGAGAUGGAUUCUGAGACAUGAAUCCAGGCCCUACGGGGCGCAGCAGGCGCGAAAACUUUACAAUGCGGGAAACCGUGAUAAGGGGACACCGAGUGCCAGCAUCAUAUGCUGGCUGUCCGGGUGUGUAAAAUACACCCGUUAGCAAGGGCCGGGCAAGACCGGUGCCAGCCGCCGCGGUAACACCGGCGGCCCGAGUGGUGAUCGUGAUUAUUGGGUCUAAAGGGUCCGUAGCCGGUUUGGUCAGUCCUCCGGGAAAUCUGACGGCUUAACCGUUAGGCUUUCGGAGGAUACUGCCAGGCUUGGAACCGGGAGAGGUAAGAGGUACUACAGGGGUAGGAGUGAAAUCUUGUAAUCCCUGUGGGACCACCUGUGGC